UACGUAGGGUGCAAGCGUUAAUCGGAAUUACUGGGCGUAAAGACGUGCGCAGGCGGUGAUGUAAGACAGUUGUGAAAUCCCCGGGCUCCGAACCUGGGAACUGCAUCUGUGACUGCAUCGCUGGAGUACGGUAGAGGGGGAUGGAAGUUCCGCGUGUAGCAGUGAAAUGCGUAGAUAUGCGGAGGAACACCGAUGGCGAAGGCAAUCCCCUGGACCUGUACUGACGCUCAUGCACGAAAGCGUGGGGAGCAAACAGG
RNAcentral lists this ribosomal RNA (257 nucleotides) under uncultured bacterium. RNAcentral's name for it is "partial 16S ribosomal RNA". It matches the Rfam family "Bacterial small subunit ribosomal RNA", at positions 524 to 776 of the family's 1533-position model. The record is from RNAcentral.